AUGAGCCUAUUCCGCAAGGUCUCAUGACUCCACACAUGUGAAGUGAAAUCUGCCAGGUGGGGAUCAUUUGACAUUUGCUAUAAAGGAAGCAUGAGGAGUAUGGGAAGACUUGCCACUCUAGGGGAGUAUGAGGUUCAGGUUACUUAGGGUGCUUUUUCUACUGUCCUCGUGAAAUGGAAUCAGUGUUUCUAAGUAGACUACUUUUUCAUCGUGUUUUGUACAAGCUCUGUGAAAUAGUUUGGGACACUCUAUGAGCUACUAACAUUGGUGGUGACUACUCAGAAUGGGAAAAACCUGGCGGUGCUACUUCCCCAUGAAGUUGUUUGGAAGAAAGUAAAAUUCAGAAGCUGGCAGGUCUGCCAGUAGCUGACAGAGUAGAAAGGUGUGCCUCUCUCUCUUUUUUGUAUAGAGUUAGAGGCAAGCCUGAUAUCCAGCCAAGACGGACAAAGGAGAAGGACAAGGACAAAGCCUGGGAGGAAGACUAUGAGCCUUCAGCACGAGAGACCCCCAGAGGGACCACCGGGGACUGAUAUGCAUGUGCCAGUGGGAGGGUUCGGAAUCCGGGAACUAAUUAUAAUAACACUGCCUUUUCUAGAAGUAGUAAUGAACAUGUAUUAGCCUAGGAGCAGAAAAAGCUGCCGCCUGAUGUAACGUGUGUGUGUUGGAGGAGCCCAGACUCCCCGCGCACCCAGCGCUCUUUACUUGCCUUUUAUUAACCCCAUAAAUAAAUCUCAUAAAGCUAAGUUGACUCGGAAUUUAUAACAGUAUGAUGAAAAGUGUUGCACUCCAAGUUGGGAAGGGGAGAGGAAAAUGCUCAUGUAUACG
Molecule: long non-coding RNA, 825 nt
Organism: Anas platyrhynchos (mallard)
Lineage: Eukaryota; Metazoa; Chordata; Aves; Anseriformes; Anatidae
Source: RefSeq, a predicted model, not a curated record